CCUACGGGAGGCUGCAGUGAGGAAUAUUGGUCAAUGGACGAGAGUCUGAACCAGCCAAGUAGCGUGAAGGAUGACUGCCCUAUGGGUUGUAAACUUCUUUUAUAUGGGAAUAAAAUGUUCCACGUGUGGGAUUUUGUAUGUACCAUAUGAAUAAGGAUCGGCUAACUCCGUGCCAGCAGCCGCGGUAAUACGGAGGAUCCGAGCGUUAUCCGGAUUUAUUGGGUUUAAAGGGAGCGUAGGUGGAUUGUUAAGUCAGUUGUGAAAGUUUGCGGCUCAACCGUAAAAUUGCAGUUGAAACUGGCAGUCUUGAGUACAGUAGAGGUGGGCGGAAUUCGUGGUGUAGCGGUGAAAUGCUUAGAUAUCACGAAGAACUCCGAUUGUGAAGGCAGUUCACUGGACUGCAACUGACACUGAGGCUCGAAAGUGUGGGUAUCAAACAGGAUUAGAUACCCUUGUAGUC
This 460-nucleotide ribosomal RNA is filed under the name uncultured bacterium. Its description in RNAcentral is "partial 16S ribosomal RNA". It matches the Rfam family "Bacterial small subunit ribosomal RNA", at positions 338 to 795 of the family's 1533-position model. The record is from RNAcentral.